UCCCGAGUAGCUCAGUGGUUAAGGUGCUCGCUUUGAGUGUAAGCUGUGCCAUAUGGCCUGGGUUCAAGCCCCAGCCAUGUCA
Non-coding RNA from Megalops atlanticus (tarpon), 82 nucleotides. The record is from the annotation of a GenBank genome assembly. NCBI's taxonomy places the organism in Eukaryota, Metazoa, Chordata, Actinopteri, Elopiformes, Megalopidae.